Octopus bimaculoides (California two-spot octopus) is the source of this 622-nucleotide long non-coding RNA. The record is from RefSeq and is a predicted model, not a curated record. Lineage: Eukaryota; Metazoa; Mollusca; Cephalopoda; Octopoda; Octopodidae.
UAGUAAUUGGCUUCCUUGCUGUCAUCAGGUUAUUCUUCUGAAUCAUUGUCAUCAGUCAUUGGACUGUGGCCAGGCUGGAGCACUGCUACGAAGAAUUGCAGCUGAAGAAAUUGUCUCCAGGACUUUUUUCUGAGGCCUGGUACAUAUUUCACCAGUCUCUUUUGCUAAACUGCUAAGUUACAGGGACGUAAAUGAACCAAAUGUGGUGUGGAACAAACACAGACACAAAAACACACACACACACACAUGUAUUCACACACACAACGGGCUUCUUUCAGUUUCCAUCAGCUAAAUCCACUCACAAGGCUUUGGUCAGCCCAAGGCAAAAUUGAGGUGCCACGUGGCGGGACUGAACCCAGAACCAAGAUUUUGAGAAGCAAGCUUCUUACCACACAGCCACACCUCUCCCUUUAUAUUUAGCAAAUUGUUCUUGCUUUUUUCCUUUUUGUUUGAAUUUCAGAAAUUAUAUUUUAUUUUCUUUCAGUCGGUGAGAUCAUCACCAAGAAAAUUUGAAGAAUAUAUUAAAUAAUGAAUAAUUUUUAAAUAAAAUAUUCAAUAAUUUCUCAUUAUAUUUUUCAGCUUAAUAAAGAAAUGUAAGAAUAAAAGAGUUUUGAAAAAAAGA